Molecule: ribosomal RNA, 644 nt
Filed under: Candidatus Phytoplasma pyri
Lineage: Bacteria; Bacillati; Mycoplasmatota; Mollicutes; Acholeplasmatales; Acholeplasmataceae
Description: bacterial SSU rRNA
Rfam family: Bacterial small subunit ribosomal RNA
Source: RNAcentral
CUUUCAGACGAGGAUAACAGUUGGAAACGACUGCUAAGACUGGAUAGGAAGUUUUAAGGCAUCUUGAAACUUUUAAAAGACCCGCAAGGGUAUGCUGAGAGAUGGGCUUGCGGCACAUUAGUUAGUUGGUAAGGUAACGGCUUACCAAGACCAUGAUGUGUAGCUGGACUGAGAGGUUGAACGGCCACAUUGGGACUGAGAUACGGCCCAAACUCCUACGGGAGGCAGCAGUAAGGAAUUUUCGGCAAUGGAGGAAACUCUGACCGAGCAACGCCGCGUGAACGAUGAAGUAUUUAGGUAUGUAAAGUUCUUUUAUUAAAGAAGAAAAAAUGAUGGAAAAAUCAUUCUGACGGUAUUUAAUGAAUAAGCCCCGGCUAACUAUGUGCCAGCAGCUGCGGUAAUACAUGGGGGGCAAGCGUUAUCCGGAUUUAUUGGGCGUAAAGGGUGCGUAGGCGGUUUAAUAAGUCUAUGGUCUAAGUUCAACGCUUAACGUUGUGAUGCUAUAGAAACUGUUUGACUAGAGUUGGAUAGAGGCAAGUGGAAUUCCAUGUGUAGCGGUAAAAUGCGUAAAGAUAUGGAGGAACACCAGUAGCGAAGGCGGCUUGCUGGGUCUUAACUGACGCUGAGGCACGAAAGCGUGGGGA